UACGAAGGGGGCUAGCGUUGCUCGGAAUCACUGGGCGUAAAGCGCGCGUAGGCGGCUUUUUAAGUCAGGGGUGAAAUCCUGGAGCUCAACUCCAGAACUGCCUUUGAUACUGGGAAGCUUGAGUCCGGGAGAGGUGAGUGGAACUCCGAGUGUAGAGGUGAAAUUCGUAGAUAUUCGGAAGAACACCAGUGGCGAAGGCGGCUCACUGGCCCGGUACUGACGCUGAGGUGCGAAAGCGUGGGGAGCAAACAGG
This 253-nucleotide ribosomal RNA is filed under the name uncultured bacterium. Its description in RNAcentral is "partial 16S ribosomal RNA". It matches the Rfam family "Bacterial small subunit ribosomal RNA", at positions 524 to 776 of the family's 1533-position model. The record is from RNAcentral.